This 1002-nucleotide ribosomal RNA is filed under the name Triticum aestivum (bread wheat). RNAcentral describes it as "partial small subunit ribosomal RNA". Lineage: Eukaryota; Viridiplantae; Streptophyta; Magnoliopsida; Poales; Poaceae. The record is from RNAcentral.
AUGGCGAACCUCCUCUCCUCGGCCCCGAUCCACGCGUCGCUCCCGGACUGCUUCGUCUUCCCGCCCGAUCAGCGCCCGCCGGCCUCCUCUCAGGCCGUCUCCCUCCCGGUCAUCGACCUCUCUCGCGGCCGCGACGAGGUCCGCCGCGCCGUCCUCGACGCCGGCAAGGAGCUCGGGUUCUUCCAGGUGGUCAACCACGGCGUCUCUGCGGAGGCGAUACGGGACAUGGAGGCGGUGUGCGCGGAGUUCUUCCGGCUCCCUGCGGAGGAGAAGGCGGCCUUCUACUCGGAGGACACGGACAAGCCCAACCGGCUCUUCUCCAGCACCACCUACGAGCUCGGCGAUGAGAAGUACUGGCGGGACUGCCUCCGCCUCGCUUGCGGCUCGCCCGUCGGCGACACCAAGAACAACUGGCCCGACAAGCCCAAAAAGCUCCGCGAGGUGGUGGAGAAGUUCGUGGAGCCGACGAGAGGCGUGGGGAUGGAGCUGCUGCGGCUGCUGUGCGAGGGCAUGGGGCUCCGUCCGGACUACUUCGAAGGGGACCUCACCGGCGGCAACGUGAUCAUCAACGUUAACCACUACCCGCCGUGCCCUGCCCCGGGCCUGACGCUCGGCCUGCCGCCCCACUGCGACCGGAACCUCAUCACUCUCCUGCUCCAGAGCACCGUGCCCGGCCUCCAGGUCUCCUACAAGGGCGACUGGAUCAACGUCGAGUCCGUGCCCAACGCCUUCGUCGUCAACUUCGGCCACCUGCUCGAGAUUGCGACCAACGGGGUUUUGAAGAGCAUCGAGCACCGGGCGAUGACCAACGCCGCGCUGGCACGGACGUCGGUGGCGACGUUCAUCAUGCCGGCCGCGGACAUCCCCAUCGGCCCAGCGGAGGAGCUCGUCGGCGAGGGCAACCCGCCGCGCUACCGCACUGUCACUUUCGACGAGUUCAUGCGCGUGUACAAGACCGUCGGCGCGCGGAGGGAGAGCGUGGAGAAGGCCUUCAAGCUUUAG